GAACGAGAUGUUAAAUAAAGGGAGCGCAGCUGUUGUUGGUGGUGCACAUUGUGCAAAAGAAAAGGAUACUUCAACUGAAAGUGGAUUAGUGAAAUACGUAGAAAAGAUAUUGUCACAUAGUGAUAAAGCUUAAAACGAAAGUUCUCAUCAACUGGGUAGAUGCACGGAAAUAGUAACAGAUUUGGUAGCAGUGACACACUGUAAUUUCUCUUCACUGGAGUCUCCGGGAUGUGCGAGUGGAAAAAAUAAAUACUCGAGAUCAGACCCCCUGGCUUUCCUGAAAGACUGCUGAAAACUCAAUGAAGCAGGUCCUUAGCGAACUGGCGCUCUUAGUCAUGAGACUACCAGAGACUGCUCAAGUGUCAAAAGUUACAAUAAGUUUAGAUCCUUUUGCAAAUGUGGUCUGCUUAUGAAACAUGUGAGUGGCUGCACCUUUUAACCACAGAGAUUCAUAGAUAAUGUUGCUCUAUCAAUUUCCUUUCGGUAUUUACUAUGAAGACGUCAAUAACAAUUAAGCAUUUUCAUCUCAAAGACAGCACUAAAUUUCAAGGUCAUAACAAUGACCAACACAAAAGUCACCAAUUUUAAUCGCAAGCUUAUAACAAGCAACUAUAUAUGUAUUGUGCUAAGAAAAUAAUAUUUAUUUAACGCUUCAACGCUUCAAUCACAUGCAUGAAAACUUUUUGGUGAAGUUUCUUGAAGUUCGCUGCUUUCUCAUUGUUGUGAAUUUUGGCUGCAUUAAUUUGUAAUUAUGGAUGCUAGCGUGAUUUCCCUUUUUUAUUUUAUUCUUUAUUAUAUAAUAUACAUAUAUAUUUAAUUUUUUUUCAUAUCACAUACUUGAGUUUUAUAAAUUUGGCGUUGGGCGAGAAUUAGUUUUUGAACUACCUUAAAUUGUUGAACUUAAACUAAAUUUGUUUUAGCAUCAAAUAUUUGUAUAUAUUUAUGAUUACGGCCGAUAAAUAAAUACAAUGGACAGCAAUUUUUGCGCGUUUAACUUUAGUAUUAUGUUUGACUAUUUUAUUAUAUAUUCUUAUAUCAAACUGUACUUUUUGACUUUAUGGCUUUGCUAGUUCUUGUUGUUGUAUAUAGUUCACACAACUCUAAACUCAUGCAUUGCCUUGCUUUUAUUUAAUUUAUUUUUAUUAUCUAUUUUCUGUGGCUUUCUUUGUAAUUUUUAAUUGUCUAUUUUCGCAAUUAA
Long non-coding RNA from Ceratitis capitata (Mediterranean fruit fly), 1198 nucleotides. RefSeq lists it as uncharacterized. The record is from RefSeq and is a predicted model, not a curated record. NCBI's taxonomy places the organism in Eukaryota, Metazoa, Arthropoda, Insecta, Diptera, Tephritidae. The transcript is spliced from 4 exons.